UACGGGGGGGGCAAGCGUUGUUCGGAAUUACUGGGCGUAAAGGGUUCGUAGGUGGCUUGCUAAGUCAGACGUGAAAUCCCUCAGCUUAACUGGGGAACUGCGUCUGAUACUGGCGAGCUUGAGUGCAGGAGAGGAACGCGGAAUUCCAGGUGUAGCGGUGAAAUGCGUAGAUAUCUGGAGGAACACCGGUGGCGAAGGCGGCGUUCUGGACUGCAACUGACACUGAUGAACGAAAGCCAGGGGAGCAAACAGG
This 253-nucleotide ribosomal RNA is filed under the name uncultured bacterium. Its description in RNAcentral is "partial 16S ribosomal RNA". It matches the Rfam family "Bacterial small subunit ribosomal RNA", at positions 524 to 776 of the family's 1533-position model. The record is from RNAcentral.